CAAGUUACACUUUCUUCCAACAUCGGUUCCAGUCGCCAUAUUGUGUUGCUUGACUACUGAAAAAUAGUGCUGUUGAUAAGAUUAUCUGAAGUGAUUGUGGAUUUAUGUGGAGGAAGGGAAAGGCUGAUACUUGGAAGUUUUGGCGUUAGAAGGAAUUUUUGCCGAUUCCUAAUGAAUGAGGAUGAACUUGUCACAGACAAUGGAGGUAGAGAGAAGACGAUGCUGGAGUCUAGAAGAAGCAUGAUUACUAUACUCUGCUGCGAAUGGAGUGUUCUACUGCAGCUCGUACAGUAAUGGAACUAAAAGGCACAAAUUUCAGUUACUGUAAUGUGGUACCGGAAAAGUCUAGUAACCUCAGGUGAUAAAAAACAGACCCUCUGUAUUACGCCUGCAGCUUGUACAUUAAUGUAACUAAAGGAUUUGAAAUAUUUUGGGACAGCACAUUCCAGUAAUUCUGUCUUGAAUAACAAGUCACACCAAUUUCAGCAACAAAAUUUAGUUUUAUUUUUAAACUUCUUGAAAUGAACUAUUUUUUAAUUAAUAUUAUAUGGUUUAGCAACCGUUUUCUCUCCGGUGAUUUUUUUCCUCGGGUCGCUUGGGAAUAUCGUGGCCUGAGGUGUAACUUAAAAAUUUUUGGGUCCUAGGAUUAAACCAUCUAGUUAUGUUUGGAGCACAUACGUUCAGGUAAGCUCUACGUUGAAAUUAGAUUUUUUCUCUAGUUUGGCAAUCUCCUCCU
Molecule: long non-coding RNA, 736 nt
Organism: Macrobrachium nipponense
Lineage: Eukaryota; Metazoa; Arthropoda; Malacostraca; Decapoda; Palaemonidae
Exons: 3
Source: RefSeq, a predicted model, not a curated record